This 253-nucleotide ribosomal RNA is filed under the name uncultured bacterium. RNAcentral's name for it is "partial 16S ribosomal RNA". It matches the Rfam family "Bacterial small subunit ribosomal RNA", at positions 524 to 776 of the family's 1533-position model. The record is from RNAcentral.
UACGGAGGGUGCGAGCGUUAAUCGGAAUUACUGGGCGUAAAGGGUGCGUAGGUGGUUGAUUAAGUUAUCUGUGAAAUUCCUGGGCUUAACCUGGGACGGUCAGAUAAUACUGGUUGACUCGAGUAUGGGAGAGGGUAGUGGAAUUUCCGGUGUAGCGGUGAAAUGCGUAGAGAUCGGAAGGAACACCAGUGGCGAAGGCGGCUACCUGGCCUAAUACUGACAAUGAGGCACGAAAGCGUGAGGAGCAAACAGG